UCCUGGUUUCCCAGGCAGUCUCAUCAGAGUGCUUUACUUAAAAGUAGCAACUGACGAUAGGAGUUGCGCUCGUUAGAGGACUUAACCGAACGUCUCACGACACGAGCUGACGACAGCCAUGCAGCACCUGUGCAAAAGUCUAGACCGAAGCCUAGAAGACUGUAUUUCUACAGCUGUCUUAUGCAUGUCAAACCUAGGUAAGGUUCCUCGCGUAGUGUCGAAUUAAACCACAUGUUCCACCGCUUGUGCGGACCCCCGUCAAUUCUUUUAAGUUUUAGUCUUGCGACCGUAAUCCCCAGGCGGAUCACUUAACGCGUUAGCUACGACACCAGCUCGGUAAAAACCAAGCUAACGUCUAGUGAUCAUCGUUUACGGCGUGGACUAC
Molecule: unclassified non-coding RNA, 385 nt
Filed under: uncultured bacterium
Lineage: Bacteria
Description: contains 16S-23S intergenic spacer region
Source: RNAcentral